RNAcentral lists this ribosomal RNA (269 nucleotides) under uncultured bacterium. RNAcentral describes it as "partial 16S ribosomal RNA". It matches the Rfam family "Bacterial small subunit ribosomal RNA", at positions 524 to 787 of the family's 1533-position model. The record is from RNAcentral.
UACGAAAGGGGCUAGCGUUGUUCGGAUUUACUGGGCGUAAAGGGCACGCAGGCGGUCUUGCCAGUCAGGGGUGAAAGCCCGAGGCUCAACCUCGGAACUGCCUCUGAUACUGUAAGACUUGAGACUAGGAGAGGGUGGUGGAAUUCCCAGUGUAGAGGUGAAAUUCGUAGAUAUUGGGAGGAACACCAGAGGCGAAGGCGGCCACCUGGACUAGAUCUGACGCUCAGGUGGCGAAAAGCGUGGGGGAGCAAACAGGGAUUAAGAUACCC